AUGGGGCUUUGGACCUUUAAUCAGGCAUUAGCACGCCGAGAGCUUAUGAGGAUGAUAGUGUUGCAUGAAUUGGCAUUCUCAUUGGUGGAGUAAGAUGGAUUUAGAAGAUUUGUCUCUAAUCUAAAUCCUAGCUUUAAGAUGAUAUGUAGAAGAAUAGUGAAGGAGGACUGCAUGAAAGCAUUUAAGGAAGAGAAGAGAAUUCUACAAAGGAUGUUCCAAAACUCCAAAUCCAAGAUUUCUUUGACUACGGACCUGUGGACAUCAAAUCAGACAGUGGGCUACAUUUGCAUCACAGUCCACUUCAUUGAUGAGGAGUGGAAGCUGAUGAGGAUACAGACCUGGGGUAGGGUCAUAGGCCUGACCUAUACGUCCUACCCAAGGUCACUACCCAAGAAGGCAAGAAGGUCAAGAGACAACAUGAGACCCCCGAUCGAAGAUGUCAAGUGCAAUCCACUCGACAUCAUGUCACUCGGGAGUCUCCUACCUACUGUCACUCGACCUACCAGAGAAUCACUUGACCUCCCGAAGACCAGGAGUCACUCAGCGUGCAACGGACAAGCAUUCACUCCUUAG
RNAcentral lists this ribosomal RNA (573 nucleotides) under Triticum aestivum (bread wheat). Its description in RNAcentral is "partial small subunit ribosomal RNA". Lineage: Eukaryota; Viridiplantae; Streptophyta; Magnoliopsida; Poales; Poaceae. The record is from RNAcentral.